Non-coding RNA from Elgaria multicarinata webbii, 366 nucleotides. Lineage: Eukaryota; Metazoa; Chordata; Lepidosauria; Squamata; Anguidae. The record is from the annotation of a RefSeq genome assembly.
AUGGGUUCCCUCCUCCAGUGGGACAUUGCCUGGGUGUUUGGUUCAGGCUGCCAUGCAGAGGUACAGUUGCUGGAGACUGGAGGGGGUGUUGUAGCACCUGGAGGCUCACUUCGCUUGUCCUGCAAAGCUUCUGGGUUCACCUUUACAGACUAUGCCAUCCACUGGAUCCGUCAGGCUCCAGGGAAAGGACUGGAGUGGGUGGCUUUAGUUAGCAAGCCUACAGGGAGCAAGCAGUUGUAUAACUCCAAGGUUCAGGGGAGAUUCACCAUCUCCAGAGACAAUCCUCAGACUUCAGCUUAUCUGCAGAUGAACAGCUUGAAGCCUGAAGACUCUGCCUUGUAUUACUGUGCAAGAGAAGCACAGUGA